CAGUCGUACAGGUAGCCGUAGAUUGCUGAAUGCUGACGAGCGGCGGACGGGUGAGUAAUGCCUAGGAAUCUGCCCGAUAGUGGGGGAUAACCUGGGGAAACCCCGGCUAAUACCGCAUACGUCCUACGGGAGAAAGGGGGCUCCGGCUCCCGCUAUGGGAUGAGCCUAUGUCGGAUUAGCUAGUUGGUGAGGUAACGGCUCACCAAGGCCACGAUCCGUAGCUGGUCUGAGAGGAUGAUCAGCCACAUCGGGACUGAGACACGGCCCGAACUCCUACGGGAGGCAGCAGUGGGGAACAUUGGACGAUGGGGGAAACCCUGAUCCAGCCAUGCCGCGUGUGUGAAGAAGGCCCUCGGGUUGUAAAGCACUUUCAACGAGGAAGAACGCCUAGCG
Molecule: ribosomal RNA, 393 nt
Filed under: Vreelandella aquamarina
Lineage: Bacteria; Pseudomonadati; Pseudomonadota; Gammaproteobacteria; Oceanospirillales; Halomonadaceae
Description: bacterial SSU rRNA
Rfam family: Bacterial small subunit ribosomal RNA
Source: RNAcentral